Molecule: long non-coding RNA, 1106 nt
Organism: Amphiprion ocellaris (clown anemonefish)
Lineage: Eukaryota; Metazoa; Chordata; Actinopteri; Pomacentridae
Source: Ensembl
CACAGACAAAAAGGUAAAGCAACUUUGUGUUUGCUUUACAUUGGAGUGUGUGGAAUCAUACCUUGUUUUACCUGCUCCAACAUGUCAUACACACCUGCAGGGGAAGAGGUGAUGCAUAAACACACACACACACACACACACACACACACACACACACACACACACACACACACACACACACACACACACACACACACACACACACACACACACACACACACACACACACACACACACACACACAAUACUCCUUGUGCUCCACCCUGCCUUAAAAAAGUACCACAGGCAAAUAGUCAACUGACAGUUUAGUGACUGUUUUACAAGCAGUGGCAGGGAGUCAUUAGUGUGGUUUGUACACAUGCUGAUACACACACACACACACACACACACACACACACACACACGCACACACCUAGCGAAGAGGCUGUUUGGGAACAAGUUGAAACAGAUCACUCUUUCAUGCUGAACCAGGCAGCCUCUGUGUACCUUUGCUCCCCAGUGGUGUUUACCUCUUCUCCUUCCUGCUCUCUCUGCCACGUCAAAUGACUGCAUGGGUGCUUGGCUUGCUCCUCCGGUAGCCUCGUGGCCAGACAACUUGACUGUGGUCACUCGACUCUGGGUCUGAAGAGUCAGAUACAGCUGGCUGGAAGACUCCUGUCUAUUCACAUCUCUACUUUUUGCCACUGAUAUUUUUCCUUUGUCCGUUUACUGGAACUCGGCUGACACCUGGGAGAUAAACAGAUGUGGUCUGUGGAAACUGUCAGAUUGAAGACUCAUCCUUACCCAAUGGCUUAGGAAAUAUAUAAAGAGGGUCUGUCAGAGCUAUGGGAAUCUGAAGAGCAUUUGUGUAUUUCUUUAAGUUAUUCAGCUGAAAAUGAGUGGAUUUCUUUAUAGAGGAAGGCAUUGCGGUGCAGAUAAAGAGGUCAGGCUGAAGACCAUUGGACCUAUGAUGGAUUUUUCAUGUGAUGAAACAGACAAAGGCCCGCCGGUACAGAUGCACAGCCUCAGAGAGUUUGAACAGAGUGGAGUUGGCCCAGGCGCUUGCUUGUCCCCAUUGUGGAGACUGGCUGACGUAAGGCAGCAUCAGGAGACCAACAUGAAAGAAA